RNAcentral lists this ribosomal RNA (253 nucleotides) under uncultured bacterium. RNAcentral describes it as "partial 16S ribosomal RNA". It matches the Rfam family "Bacterial small subunit ribosomal RNA", at positions 524 to 776 of the family's 1533-position model. The record is from RNAcentral.
UACAGAGGGUGCGAGCGUUGUUCGGAAUUACUGGGCGUAAAGCGCGCGCAGGCGGCUUUUUAAGUCUGACGGUGAAAUGCCGGGGCUCAACCCCGUGCCCGCCGCGGAUACUGGGAAGCUGGAGACAUGUAGAGGCAAGCGGAAUUCCGGGUGUAGCGGUGGAAUGCGUAGAGAUCCGGAAGAACACCGGAGGCGAAGGCGGCUUGCUGGGCAUGUUCUGACGCUGAGGCGCGAAAGCGUGGGAGCGAACAGG